GUAAUGUAUGGGGAUCUGCCUGAUGGCGGGGGAUAACUACUGGAAACGGUAGCUAAUACCGCAUAAUGUCUACGGACCAAAGCGGGGGACCUUAGGGCCUCUUGCCAUCGGAUGUGCCCAGAUGGGAUUAGCUAGUAGGUGGGGUAAUGGCUCACCUAGGCGACGAUCCCUAGCUGGUCUGAGAGGAUGACCAGCCACACUGGAACUGAGACACGGUCCAG
This 221-nucleotide ribosomal RNA is filed under the name uncultured bacterium. RNAcentral describes it as "partial 16S ribosomal RNA". It matches the Rfam family "Bacterial small subunit ribosomal RNA", at positions 110 to 334 of the family's 1533-position model. The record is from RNAcentral.